Molecule: ribosomal RNA, 893 nt
Filed under: Niesslia tenuis
Lineage: Eukaryota; Fungi; Ascomycota; Sordariomycetes; Hypocreales; Niessliaceae
Description: partial large subunit ribosomal RNA
Rfam family: Eukaryotic large subunit ribosomal RNA
Source: RNAcentral
GCAUAUCAAUAAGCGGAGGAAAAGAAACCAACAGGGAUUGCCCCAGUAACGGCGAGUGAAGCGGCAACAGCUCAAAUUUGAAAUCUGGCCCCCAGGGCCCGAGUUGUAAUUUGUAGAGGAUGCUUUUGGCGCGGUGCCUUCCGAGUUCCCUGGAACGGGACGCCAUAGAGGGUGAGAGCCCCGUCUGGUUGGACACCUAGCCUCUGUAAAGCUCCUUCGACGAGUCGAGUAGUUUGGGAAUGCUGCUCUAAAUGGGAGGUAUAUGUCUUCUAAAGCUAAAUACCGGCCAGAGACCGAUAGCGCACAAGUAGAGUGAUCGAAAGAUGAAAAGCACUUUGAAAAGAGGGUUAAAUAGUACGUGAAAUUGUUGAAAGGGAAGCGUUUGUGACCAGACUUGGGCCCGGUUGAUCAUCCACCGUUCUCGGUGGUGCACUCUGCCGGCCCAGGCCAGCAUCAGUUCGCGCCGGGGGAUAAAGGCUUCGGGAAUGUGGCUCCUCCGGGAGUGUUAUAGCCCGUUGUGUAAUACCCUGGUGCGGACUGAGGUUCGCGCUCCGCAAGGAUGCUGGCGUAAUGGUCAUCAGCGACCCGUCUUGAAACACGGACCAAGGAGUCGUCUUCGUAUGCGAGUGUUCGGGUGUCAAACCCCUACGCGUAAUGAAAGUGAACGCAGGUGAGAGCUUCGGCGCAUCAUCGACCGAUCCUGAUGUUCUCGGAUGGAUUUGAGUAAGAGCAUACGGGGCCGGACCCGAAAGAAGGUGAACUAUGCCUGUAUAGGGUGAAGCCAGAGGAAACUCUGGUGGAGGCUCGCAGCGGUUCUGACGUGCAAAUCGAUCGUCAAAUAUGGGCAUGGGGGCGAAAGACUAAUCGAACCUUCUAGUAGCUGGUUUCCGCGA